AGCCCGCUCAGACACUCAAAUGAAUUGACGGGGGCCCGCACAAGCGUGGAGUAUGUGGUUUAAUUCGAUGCAACGCGAAGAACCUUACCUGGUCUUGACAUCCCGGAGACCCUUAGGAAACUAGGGGGUGCUUCCAUCUGGAAGAAUCUGGAGACAGGUGCUGCAUGGCUGUCGUCAGCUCGUGUCGUGAGAUGUUGGGUUAAGUCCCGCAACGAGCGCAACCCUUGCCUUUAGUUGCCAGCAGUUCGGCUGGGCACUCUAAAGGGACUGCCGGUGUUAAACCGGAGGAAGGUGGGGAUGACGUCAAGUCCUCAUGGCCUUUAUGACCAGGGCUACACACGUACUACAAUGGCCGAUACAAAGGGCAGCGACACUGCGAGGUGAAGCCAAUCCCGUAAAAUCGGUCUCAGUCCGGAUUGGAGUCUGCAACUCGACUCCAUGAAGUUGGAAUCGCUAGUAAUCGUGGAUCAGCAUGCCACGGUGAAUACGUUCCCGGGCCUU
RNAcentral lists this ribosomal RNA (501 nucleotides) under uncultured Desulfobulbus sp. RNAcentral's name for it is "bacterial SSU rRNA". It matches the Rfam family "Bacterial small subunit ribosomal RNA", at positions 886 to 1382 of the family's 1533-position model. Lineage: Bacteria; Pseudomonadati; Thermodesulfobacteriota; Desulfobulbia; Desulfobulbales; Desulfobulbaceae. The record is from RNAcentral.